GAUGAACGCUAGCGGGAGGCCUAACACAUGCAAGCCGAGCGGUAGAAGAUCUUCGGAUCUUUGAGAGCGGCGCACGGGUGCGGAACACGUGUGCAACCUACCUUUAUCAGGGGGAUAGCCUUUCGAAAGGAAGAUUAAUACCCCAUAAUAUAUUUUACGGCAUCGUAAGAUAUUGAAAACUCCGGUGGAUAGAGAUGGGCACGCGCAAGAUUAGAUAGUUGGUGAGGUAACGGCUCACCAAGUCAAUGAUCUUUAGGGGGCCUGAGAGGGUGAUCCCCCACACUGGUACUGAGACACGGACCAGACUCCUACGGGAGGCAGCAGUGAGGAAUAUUGGACAAUGGGUGAGAGCCUGAUCCAGCCAUCCCGCGUGAAGGACGACGGCCCUAUGGGUUGUAAACUUCUUUUGUAUAGGGAUAAACCUACUCUCGUGAGAGUAGCUGAAGGUACUAUACGAAUAAGCACCGGCUAACUCCGUGCCAGCAGCCGCGGUAAUACGGAGGGUGCAAGCGUUAUCCGGAUUUAUUGGGUUUAAAGGGUCCGUAGGCGGACUCGUAAGUCAGUGGUGAAAUCUCAUAGCUUAACUAUGAAACUGCCAUUGAUACUGCGGGUCUUGAGUAAAGUAGAAGUGGCUGGAAUAAGUAGUGUAGCGGUGAAAUGCAUAGAUAUUACUUAGAACACCAAUUGCGAAGGCAGGUCACUAUGUUUUAACUGACGCUGAUGGACGAAAGC
RNAcentral lists this ribosomal RNA (732 nucleotides) under Chryseobacterium sp. CI51. Its description in RNAcentral is "bacterial SSU rRNA". It matches the Rfam family "Bacterial small subunit ribosomal RNA", at positions 28 to 760 of the family's 1533-position model. Lineage: Bacteria; Pseudomonadati; Bacteroidota; Flavobacteriia; Flavobacteriales; Weeksellaceae. The record is from RNAcentral.